Molecule: non-coding RNA, 24 nt
Filed under: Arabidopsis thaliana (thale cress)
Lineage: Eukaryota; Viridiplantae; Streptophyta; Magnoliopsida; Brassicales; Brassicaceae
Source: RNAcentral
UACGCAGCAAGGACGACGAUCUCC